This 2904-nucleotide ribosomal RNA is filed under the name Escherichia coli. Its description in RNAcentral is "23S ribosomal RNA". It matches the Rfam family "Bacterial large subunit ribosomal RNA". Lineage: Bacteria; Pseudomonadati; Pseudomonadota; Gammaproteobacteria; Enterobacterales; Enterobacteriaceae. The record is from RNAcentral.
GGUUAAGCGACUAAGCGUACACGGUGGAUGCCCUGGCAGUCAGAGGCGAUGAAGGACGUGCUAAUCUGCGAUAAGCGUCGGUAAGGUGAUAUGAACCGUUAUAACCGGCGAUUUCCGAAUGGGGAAACCCAGUGUGUUUCGACACACUAUCAUUAACUGAAUCCAUAGGUUAAUGAGGCGAACCGGGGGAACUGAAACAUCUAAGUACCCCGAGGAAAAGAAAUCAACCGAGAUUCCCCCAGUAGCGGCGAGCGAACGGGGAGCAGCCCAGAGCCUGAAUCAGUGUGUGUGUUAGUGGAAGCGUCUGGAAAGGCGCGCGAUACAGGGUGACAGCCCCGUACACAAAAAUGCACAUGCUGUGAGCUCGAUGAGUAGGGCGGGACACGUGGUAUCCUGUCUGAAUAUGGGGGGACCAUCCUCCAAGGCUAAAUACUCCUGACUGACCGAUAGUGAACCAGUACCGUGAGGGAAAGGCGAAAAGAACCCCGGCGAGGGGAGUGAAAAAGAACCUGAAACCGUGUACGUACAAGCAGUGGGAGCACGCUUAGGCGUGUGACUGCGUACCUUUUGUAUAAUGGGUCAGCGACUUAUAUUCUGUAGCAAGGUUAACCGAAUAGGGGAGCCGAAGGGAAACCGAGUCUUAACUGGGCGUUAAGUUGCAGGGUAUAGACCCGAAACCCGGUGAUCUAGCCAUGGGCAGGUUGAAGGUUGGGUAACACUAACUGGAGGACCGAACCGACUAAUGUUGAAAAAUUAGCGGAUGACUUGUGGCUGGGGGUGAAAGGCCAAUCAAACCGGGAGAUAGCUGGUUCUCCCCGAAAGCUAUUUAGGUAGCGCCUCGUGAAUUCAUCUCCGGGGGUAGAGCACUGUUUCGGCAAGGGGGUCAUCCCGACUUACCAACCCGAUGCAAACUGCGAAUACCGGAGAAUGUUAUCACGGGAGACACACGGCGGGUGCUAACGUCCGUCGUGAAGAGGGAAACAACCCAGACCGCCAGCUAAGGUCCCAAAGUCAUGGUUAAGUGGGAAACGAUGUGGGAAGGCCCAGACAGCCAGGAUGUUGGCUUAGAAGCAGCCAUCAUUUAAAGAAAGCGUAAUAGCUCACUGGUCGAGUCGGCCUGCGCGGAAGAUGUAACGGGGCUAAACCAUGCACCGAAGCUGCGGCAGCGACGCUUAUGCGUUGUUGGGUAGGGGAGCGUUCUGUAAGCCUGUGAAGGUGUACUGUGAGGUAUGCUGGAGGUAUCAGAAGUGCGAAUGCUGACAUAAGUAACGAUAAAGCGGGUGAAAAGCCCGCUCGCCGGAAGACCAAGGGUUCCUGUCCAACGUUAAUCGGGGCAGGGUGAGUCGACCCCUAAGGCGAGGCCGAAAGGCGUAGUCGAUGGGAAACAGGUUAAUAUUCCUGUACUUGGUGUUACUGCGAAGGGGGGACGGAGAAGGCUAUGUUGGCCGGGCGACGGUUGUCCCGGUUUAAGCGUGUAGGCUGGUUUUCCAGGCAAAUCCGGAAAAUCAAGGCUGAGGCGUGAUGACGAGGCACUACGGUGCUGAAGCAACAAAUGCCCUGCUUCCAGGAAAAGCCUCUAAGCAUCAGGUAACAUCAAAUCGUACCCCAAACCGACACAGGUGGUCAGGUAGAGAAUACCAAGGCGCUUGAGAGAACUCGGGUGAAGGAACUAGGCAAAAUGGUGCCGUAACUUCGGGAGAAGGCACGCUGAUAUGUAGGUGAAGUCCCUCGCGGAUGGAGCUGAAAUCAGUCGAAGAUACCAGCUGGCUGCAACUGUUUAUUAAAAACACAGCACUGUGCAAACACGAAAGUGGACGUAUACGGUGUGACGCCUGCCCGGUGCCGGAAGGUUAAUUGAUGGGGUCAGCGCAAGCGAAGCUCUUGAUCGAAGCCCCGGUAAACGGCGGCCGUAACUAUAACGGUCCUAAGGUAGCGAAAUUCCUUGUCGGGUAAGUUCCGACCUGCACGAAUGGCGUAAUGAUGGCCAGGCUGUCUCCACCCGAGACUCAGUGAAAUUGAACUCGCUGUGAAGAUGCAGUGUACCCGCGGCAAGACGGAAAGACCCCGUGAACCUUUACUAUAGCUUGACACUGAACAUUGAGCCUUGAUGUGUAGGAUAGGUGGGAGGCUUUGAAGUGUGGACGCCAGUCUGCAUGGAGCCGACCUUGAAAUACCACCCUUUAAUGUUUGAUGUUCUAACGUGGACCCGUGAUCCGGGUUGCGGACAGUGUCUGGUGGGUAGUUUGACUGGGGCGGUCUCCUCCUAAAGAGUAACGGAGGAGCACGAAGGUUGGCUAAUCCUGGUCGGACAUCAGGAGGUUAGUGCAAUGGCAUAAGCCAGCUUGACUGCGAGCGUGACGGCGCGAGCAGGUGCGAAAGCAGGUCAUAGUGAUCCGGUGGUUCUGAAUGGAAGGGCCAUCGCUCAACGGAUAAAAGGUACUCCGGGGAUAACAGGCUGAUACCGCCCAAGAGUUCAUAUCGACGGCGGUGUUUGGCACCUCGAUGUCGGCUCAUCACAUCCUGGGGCUGAAGUAGGUCCCAAGGGUAUGGCUGUUCGCCAUUUAAAGUGGUACGCGAGCUGGGUUUAGAACGUCGUGAGACAGUUCGGUCCCUAUCUGCCGUGGGCGCUGGAGAACUGAGGGGGGCUGCUCCUAGUACGAGAGGACCGGAGUGGACGCAUCACUGGUGUUCGGGUUGUCAUGCCAAUGGCACUGCCCGGUAGCUAAAUGCGGAAGAGAUAAGUGCUGAAAGCAUCUAAGCACGAAACUUGCCCCGAGAUGAGUUCUCCCUGACUCCUUGAGAGUCCUGAAGGAACGUUGAAGACGACGACGUUGAUAGGCCGGGUGUGUAAGCGCAGCGAUGCGUUGAGCUAACCGGUACUAAUGAACCGUGAGGCUUAACCUU